UAUUACACAAUGGGGGAAAACCUGAUGCAGCGACGCCGCGUGAGUGAGGAAGUAUUUCGGUAUGUAAAGCUCUAUCAGCAGGGAAGAUAAUGACGGUAGCUGACUAAGAAGCCCGGGCUAACUACGUUCCAGCAGCCGCGGUAAUACGUAGGGGGCAAGCGUUAUCCGGAUUUACUGGGUGUAAAGGGUGCGUAGGUGGCAGGGCAAGUCAGAUGUGAAAGCCCGGGGCUCAACCCCGGUACUGCAUUUGAAACUGUCCAGCUGGAGUGCAGGAGAGGUAAGCGGAAUUCCUAGUGUAGCGGUGAAAUGCGUAGAUAUUAGGAGGAACACCAGUGGCGAAGGCGGCUUACUGGACUGUAACUGACACUGAGGCACGAAAGCGUGGGGAGCA
RNAcentral lists this ribosomal RNA (391 nucleotides) under uncultured bacterium. RNAcentral's name for it is "bacterial SSU rRNA". It matches the Rfam family "Bacterial small subunit ribosomal RNA", at positions 362 to 770 of the family's 1533-position model. The record is from RNAcentral.